This 450-nucleotide long non-coding RNA is filed under the name Cricetulus griseus (Chinese hamster). RNAcentral describes it as "lncRNA (ENSCGRG00000024191.1)". Lineage: Eukaryota; Metazoa; Chordata; Mammalia; Rodentia; Cricetidae. The record is from RNAcentral.
UGCCUCCCUACCCCUUUUGGCUGACUUUCCUCUGUCCUCACUGUUUGUUAGGCUCAUGAACAGUGGACAGAGCCAUUUGGAAUGGGAGGAGUCUGCUCCUUCAGACCUGGCCAGAGAAGCAAAGGGCUCUGGUUCACCACAGGCCCAGACAUCUGUGGGGGGAGCUCUGGGCAGGAACUCAGGCUCUAUGGGAACCCUGAGAAAAUCAGACUGAAAUCCUGCCCAGGGAAAGCUGCAGUUGUCCAAGGAGAGCUCCAUUUCAAUGCAUGUGAGUGAACCUGCCUGCAUAGAGUGGACCCACCCAGACAGGAAGGACCUCCAUGAGUCUGGAAAUACCGCACUCUUUCUUCCCUCUUCGCCCUGAUCUCUGCUGAGGUGAGUGUCCCCUAUUCUCCUGCUCACCUCCAGCCAUCACCCCUUCCUUCAAACCUUUCUGGGACUGCUACUGGC